UUAGGCCUGAGUUUGAUCCUGGCUCAGCCUGAACGCUGGCGGCGUGGCUAAGACAUGCAAGUCGCACGGGGUCGCAAGACCCAGUGGCGAACGGGUGAGUAAUGAAUCGCUAAUGUACCCCGGACUCUGGGAUAGCUACCCGAAAGGGUAGGUAAUACCAGAUGAGACCACGAUCAGGCAUCUGAUUGUGCUCAAAGGUCCGCCGGUCUGGGAGCAGGCGAUUUCGUAUCAGCUAGUUGGUGAGGUAACGGCUCACCAAGGCGACGACGCGUAGCCGGACUGAGAGGUUGGCCGGCCACAUUGGGACUGAGACACUGCCCAGACUCCUAUGGGGGGCUGCAGUAACGAAUCUUCCGCAAUGCACGAAAGUGUGACGGAGCGACGCCGCGUGUAGGACGAAGCCCUUCGGGGUGUAAACUACUGUCAGGGGUUAGAAAGUUCUGAUCAACCCCAGAGGAAGGCACGGCUAACUCUGUGCCAGCAGCCGCGGUAAGACAGAGGUGCCAAGCGUUAGGCGGAAUCACUGGGCUUAAAGCGUGUGUAGGCGGAUUUGUAAGUACCUUGUGAAAUCCCACGGCUCAACCGUGGAACUGCUCGGUAUACUGCUUAUCUUGAGCCACUUAGGGGCUACCGGAACAACUGGUGGAGCGGUGAAAUGCGUAGAUAUCAUUUGGAACGCCAAUGGUGAAAACAGGUAGCUGGGAGUGUGCUGACGCUGAGACACGAAAGCCAGGGGAGCGAACGGGAUUAGAUACCCCCGUAGUCCGGUAAAUGUCA
Molecule: ribosomal RNA, 777 nt
Filed under: uncultured Planctomycetaceae bacterium
Lineage: Bacteria; Pseudomonadati; Planctomycetota; Planctomycetia; Planctomycetales; Planctomycetaceae
Description: bacterial SSU rRNA
Rfam family: Bacterial small subunit ribosomal RNA
Source: RNAcentral